Molecule: long non-coding RNA, 743 nt
Filed under: Chlamydomonas reinhardtii
Lineage: Eukaryota; Viridiplantae; Chlorophyta; Chlorophyceae; Chlamydomonadales; Chlamydomonadaceae
Description: long non-coding RNA (CREI_LNC001415)
Source: RNAcentral
CGCCGGAGGCUUCACCCGACCCUACCAUGUCCGACGCCAGCGCAGGUGCCAGCUUGUCGGAAGACUCGUAUACAGUUACAGAAACCCGAUGUUGAGGACACAGUGGCACUACAACUAUCCCCCUUCAGGAUUGAGCGUCCUCGGUCAAUCCUCGAUGGUGCGAGUCGCCCGCUCGCGAGCGCUCUGCAGGUCAGCAGCCAUAUCAGGGGUAAAGUUAGACUCAGGCUCCCAGCUGUUAUGCUUAGAGGAGUAGCCCUUCCAUUUGACCAAGUACUCCUUAACCAAUCGCCGGCGAUUGUUACCUAACGCCACAGCGCGACGGCGGAAGUCCAGGAUGCGCCCUACUGUCCAUAGGGGUUGGUCGUCAAUCCAUGCAACAGGUCCAGGCCCAUCAUCAGACUCAGGCCCAGCACGCCCACCUGCCGUGCCCGUGUACUUGCGCACCAUGGACACGUGGAACGUGUGAUGGAUGUUCUUCAGCGACGCCGGCAGUGCAAGCUGAACAGCAGCCCCACUACUAACCGGACGUACCACAGUAAAAGGCCCAAUCCAGCGCGGUAGCAGCUUGCGCGGUCCCUUAGCCCGAGCGCGCAGAUUCUUGGUGUUGAGCAGGACCAAGUCGCCAGGCCGGUACGUGACGUCUUUCUUGUUGCGAUUGUAGUAAUUCGCAGCACGGCUCUGAGCCGCCUCCAGGCAGGCGCGCGCCUCAGCCAUCCUAUGCACGUAAGAUUUAGCAAACUCAC